Molecule: ribosomal RNA, 650 nt
Filed under: uncultured Hyphomicrobiales bacterium
Lineage: Bacteria; Pseudomonadati; Pseudomonadota; Alphaproteobacteria; Hyphomicrobiales
Description: bacterial SSU rRNA
Rfam family: Bacterial small subunit ribosomal RNA
Source: RNAcentral
GUCGAGCGCACAGGUUUACCUGUGAGCGGCAGACGGGUGAGUAACGCGUGGGAAUCUACCUUAAGCUGCGGGAUAACAGAGAGAAAUUUCUGCUAAUACCGCAUGUGCCCGGAAGGGGAAAGAUUUAUCGGCUUAAGAUGAGCCCGCGUUGGAUUAGCUAGUUGGUGGGGUAAAGGCCUACCAAGGCGACGAUCCAUAGCUGGUCUGAGAGGAUGAUCAGCCACACUGGGACUGAGACACGGCCCAGACUCCUACGGGAGGCAGCAGUGGGGAAUAUUGGACAAUGGGCGCAAGCCUGAUCCAGCCAUGCCGCGUGAGUGAUGAAGGCCUUAGGGUUGUAAAGCUCUUUCACCGGGGAAGAUAAUGACGGUACCCGGAGAAGAAGCCCCGGCUAACUUCGUGCCAGCAGCCGCGGUAAUACGAAGGGGGCUAGCGUUGUUCGGAAUUACUGGGCGUAAAGAGCGCGUAGGCGGAAAAGUAAGUCAGGGGUGAAAUCCCGGGGCUCAACCCCGGAAUUGCCUUUGAUACUGUUUUUCUUGAGUGCAGAAGAGGUAUGUGGAAUUCCGAGUGUAGAGGUGAAAUUCGUAGAUAUUCGGAAGAACACCGGUGGCGAAGGCGGCUUACUGGUCUGCAACUGACGCUGAGGCGCG